This 67-nucleotide transfer RNA is filed under the name Batrachoseps nigriventris (black-bellied slender salamander). RNAcentral's name for it is "tRNA-Thr". It matches the Rfam family "tRNA". From Rfam's summary of the family: Transfer RNA (tRNA) molecules are approximately 80 nucleotides in length. Lineage: Eukaryota; Metazoa; Chordata; Amphibia; Caudata; Plethodontidae. The record is from RNAcentral.
GCUGAUGUAGUUUAGAAAAAUAUUGGUCUUGUAAGCCAAAGAGCGGGAAUAACAUUCCCCCUCAGCC